UACAGGGGGUGCAAACGUUGCUCGGAAUCAUUGGGCGUAAAGAGCGUGUAGGCGGCCAGAAAAGUCCGCUGUGAAAACUCGAGGCUCAACUUCGAGCUGUCGGUGGAAACUUUCUGGCUAGAGUCCGGAAGAGGAGAAUGGAAUUCCUGGUGUAGCGGUGAAAUGCGCAGAUAUCAGGAAGAACACCCGUGGCGAAGGCGGUUCUCUGGGACGGUACUGACGCUGAGACGCGAAAGCGUGGGGAGCGAACAGG
This 253-nucleotide ribosomal RNA is filed under the name uncultured bacterium. RNAcentral describes it as "partial 16S ribosomal RNA". It matches the Rfam family "Bacterial small subunit ribosomal RNA", at positions 524 to 776 of the family's 1533-position model. The record is from RNAcentral.